GCCAGCGUAGCUCAGUGGUAGAGCGGCUGAUUCGUAAUCAGCUGGUCGCCCGUUCGAGUCGGGUCGCUGGCU
Molecule: transfer RNA, 72 nt
Filed under: Pseudomonadota bacterium
Lineage: Bacteria; Pseudomonadati; Pseudomonadota
Also listed under: 1 other name
Description: tRNA-Thr
Rfam family: tRNA
About the family: Transfer RNA (tRNA) molecules are approximately 80 nucleotides in length. Their secondary structure includes four short double-helical elements and three loops (D, anti-codon, and T loops). Further hydrogen bonds mediate the characteristic L-shaped molecular structure. tRNAs have two regions of fundamental functional importance: the anti-codon, which is responsible for specific mRNA codon recognition, and the 3' end, to which the tRNAs corresponding amino acid is attached (by aminoacyl-tRNA synthetases). tRNAs cope with the degeneracy of the genetic code in two manners: having more than one tRNA (with a specific anti-codon) for a particular amino acid; and 'wobble' base-pairing, i.e. permitting non-standard base-pairing at the 3rd anti-codon position.
Source: RNAcentral